UCAAGGAGUGCAUCACCAUCAUCGAAAUCCAAGCGCAAGCCGUCGACAAAAAGUGCUUCGUGAGUGAGGCUUGCCCUGAUUUGAUUAUACAUCAAAAGUUGCAGAUCUGGGGUGCAGUUUUCUCCUUUUCCAGCAUGUUUCUUUCACUUGCUCUGUUUGCUAAAAGCAAACGGGUGAUGGUGAUGAUGAAGAGUGCAGCUGGAACAGGGACUUGUAAAGUGAUGAUCAGAAACAGAUUAAAACCAAAGAUGAUGAUGGUCAAGUUUGAUCCAAAAG
Molecule: long non-coding RNA, 276 nt
Filed under: Strongylocentrotus purpuratus (purple sea urchin)
Lineage: Eukaryota; Metazoa; Echinodermata; Echinoidea; Camarodonta; Strongylocentrotidae
Description: uncharacterized LOC105440822, transcript variant X1
Source: RNAcentral